GACGAACGCUGGCGGCGUGCUUAACACAUGCAAGUCGAACGGAAAGGCCCUGCUUUUGUGGGGUGCUCGAGUGGCGAACGGGUGAGUAACACGUGAGUAACCUGCCCUUGACUUUGGGAUAACUUCAGGAAACUGGGGCUAAUACCGGAUAGGAGCUCCUGCUGCAUGGUGGGGGUUGGAAAGUUUCGGCGGUUGGGGAUGGACUCGCGGCUUAUCAGCUUGUUGGUGGGGUAGUGGCUUACCAAGGCUUUGACGGGUAGCCGGCCUGAGAGGGUGACCGGCCACAUUGGGACGGAGAUACGGCCCAGACUCCUACGGGAGGCAGCAGUGGGGAAAAUUGCACAAUGGGCGGAAGCCUGAUGCAGCAACGCCGCGUGCGGGAUGGCGGCCUUCGGGUUGUAAACCGCUUUCGCCUGUGACGAAGCGUGAGUGACGGUAAUGGGUAAAGAAGCACCGGCUAACUACGUG
Molecule: ribosomal RNA, 468 nt
Filed under: uncultured bacterium
Lineage: Bacteria
Description: partial 16S ribosomal RNA
Rfam family: Bacterial small subunit ribosomal RNA
Source: RNAcentral